This 86-nucleotide transfer RNA is filed under the name Burkholderia vietnamiensis. RNAcentral describes it as "tRNA-Leu". It matches the Rfam family "tRNA". From Rfam's summary of the family: Transfer RNA (tRNA) molecules are approximately 80 nucleotides in length. Their secondary structure includes four short double-helical elements and three loops (D, anti-codon, and T loops). The record is from RNAcentral. RNAcentral also lists the same sequence under 2 other names. Lineage: Bacteria; Pseudomonadati; Pseudomonadota; Betaproteobacteria; Burkholderiales; Burkholderiaceae.
GCCCACGUGGCGAAAUCGGAAGCCGCACCGGAUUUAGGUUCCGGCGUCGCGAGACACUGCCGGUUCGAGUCCGGCCGUGGGCACCA